GGGGGUUCUUCACGAGGGCAGGUUGUAUAGGUGUCUUUGUAGCGUUAGUUGCUUCGCACUCUGUACCGGUGGGUGGCGGUGAUGCACAUUGUUUGCCAACCGCCAUAAAAGAAGUAGUAGUUGCACGAGGUCAUGAGAACGCACGAAGAAAAAACGACAGAGUAUGUUUGCGUGUGUCUGGGACUUUCUUUCGGUCGAAAUGAACUCUCCAUUUCGUCCAGAUGUCUUAAAUUGAGUUAAUUUGGCUUGGAAUGGAAGAGCAGUUGACCGAAGCUAACUGGGUUAGCUUAGCUGCAGUGCAGCAAACGCAAUCGUGUAAGUCGUCGAGUUUCUUCUUUGUGCAACUCAUCCAGUGUUGACUUGAAUGGCGUUGAGAAGUGAAGACGUUUGAAGUCAAAAUGUGACUGUCCGAGGGGAAGGAAGGAAGGAGAAUUCGACUUGCCUUCAAGCCCAGAAGCUUCGGGGGACCGAUGGCGCUGGAUUUGCUUGUUUGAAGACAGACGCAAGCCUGAAGAAGAGGCGCCAACAUAGCGCGCUUCCUGUUUUGACUGCAGGCACGUGAUGGCAUUGAACGUGCAUUGUCUUCUUCCAGCAGGCUGCGAUCUGUGCAUUCAGCUCAUGUCUUUCUCUCACCCUUUAAAAUAAAGGAUUUGAAAAAAA
Long non-coding RNA from Hippocampus comes (tiger tail seahorse), 660 nucleotides. RefSeq lists it as uncharacterized. The transcript is spliced from 3 exons. Lineage: Eukaryota; Metazoa; Chordata; Actinopteri; Syngnathiformes; Syngnathidae. The record is from RefSeq and is a predicted model, not a curated record.